Molecule: ribosomal RNA, 499 nt
Filed under: uncultured bacterium
Lineage: Bacteria
Description: partial 16S ribosomal RNA
Rfam family: Bacterial small subunit ribosomal RNA
Source: RNAcentral
GACGAACGCUGGCGGCGUGCCUAAUACAUGCAAGUCGUGCGGACCUUUUAAAAGCUUGCUUUUAAAAGGUUAGCGGCGGACGGGUGAGUAACACGUGGGCAACCUGCCUGUAAGACUGGGAUAACGCCGGGAAACCGGGGCUAAUACCAGAUCGUUUUUUCCUCCGCAUGGAGGAAAAAGGAAAGGCGGCUUCGGCUGCCACUUACAGAUGGGCCCGCGGCGCAUUAGCUAGUUGGCGGGGUAACGGCCCACCAAGGCAACGAUGCGUAGCCGACCUGAGAGGGUGAUCGGCCACAUUGGGACUGAGCCACGGCCCAAACUCCUACGGGAGGCAGCAGUAGGGAAUCUUCCGCAAUGGACGAAAGUCUGACGGAGCAACGCCGCGUGAGUGAAGAAGGCCUUCGGGUCGUAAAACUCUGUUGCCGGGGAAGAACAAGUGCCGUUCGAACAGGGCGGCGCCUUGACGGUACCCGGCCAGAAAGCCACGGCUAACUACGUG